CACUCAUCAAGACCGGCGGAGGGAUAGGCCCUUUGAUGCCGGGGCAACCUUCCGGGAUUUCCCAAUCCCGGAGAUGGUGCCAACUCCUGCGAGGCGUCUUCGGAAGCCGCGAGAGAUGAGUG
Molecule: non-coding RNA, 122 nt
Filed under: Brevundimonas sp. Root1423
Lineage: Bacteria; Pseudomonadati; Pseudomonadota; Alphaproteobacteria; Caulobacterales; Caulobacteraceae
Also listed under: 1 other name
Description: SAM riboswitch aptamer (S box leader)
Rfam family: SAM riboswitch aptamer (S box leader)
About the family: The SAM riboswitch is found upstream of a number of genes which code for proteins involved in methionine or cysteine biosynthesis in Gram-positive bacteria. The SAM riboswitch acts at the level of transcription termination control. The predicted structure consists of a complex stem-loop region followed by a single stem loop terminator region.
Source: Rfam by way of RNAcentral